UCCUACACAUUCCGCACACUGAAAUCUGCAUUAUCCUUCCUAGAGACUGGAAAGGUAUCAAGGAAUGCAUUUAUUCAAAGGACAAGUGUUCAUGAUUUGUACUCCUUUGAAAUAUCUGCAGAUAUGCAUGAAAGUUUACGGAACAGAUUAAUAGUAAAUGAGAAGCCUUAUCAGGAGCCCACAAGAUCAUCUCGGUCGAGGCGAGCAUCAAAAAUAGAACAAGAUCAAAAUAUAGAUGACACAAAAGAUGGUGAUACUUCAAGUGGCUCAGAUUCACCAAAUGAGUCUGAAUAAGAAAACAUGAGAAGCAAGAAGGCUGCUGGCAGAAAAAGCAACUAGCUCAACAAACAAUGUCUGUCGUCCAGCAGGAAGGCCACCUCAAUUCAGGAUUAAGGAGGGGAUAGACAAUAAGGAUGCAGACUAUAAUGAAACUUCUUGCACACUACAUACCAAUAAAAUUUCACCAAAAACUGUUGUUCUGGUUUGUUGUUAUUUUUAGUGUCUUGUCAUUUUCAAAUAAUUCAUUGCAAAACUAAAGUUGCAUUAUCUCAUGUGAGACUGCAGAAUUUGUUAUCGUUAAUGCUUCAAGUGCACGGAGUGCUAAUAAAUUUCUUUUGAAUA
Molecule: long non-coding RNA, 621 nt
Organism: Sorghum bicolor (sorghum)
Lineage: Eukaryota; Viridiplantae; Streptophyta; Magnoliopsida; Poales; Poaceae
Exons: 3
Source: RefSeq, a predicted model, not a curated record